Molecule: ribosomal RNA, 497 nt
Filed under: uncultured bacterium
Lineage: Bacteria
Description: partial 16S ribosomal RNA
Rfam family: Bacterial small subunit ribosomal RNA
Source: RNAcentral
GAUGAACGCUGGCGGCGUGCCUAAUACAUGCAAGUCGAGCGAACAGAUAAGGAGCUUGCUCCUUUGACGUUAGCGGCGGACGGGUGAGUUACACGUGGAUAACCUACCUAUAAGACUGGGAUAACUUCGGGAAACCGGAGCUAAUACCGGAUAACAUAUUGAACCGCAUGGUUCAAUAGUGAAAGGCGGCUUUGCUGUCACUUAUAGAUGGAUCCGCGCCGUAUUAGCUAGUUGGUAAGGUAACGGCUUACCAAGGCAACGAUACGUAGCCGACCUGAGAGGGUGAUCGGCCACACUGGAACUGAGACACGGUCCAGACUCCUACGGGAGGCAGCAGUAGGGAAUCUUCCGCAAUGGGCGAAAGCCUGACGGAGCAACGCCGCGUGAGUGAUGAAGGUCUUCGGAUCGUAAAACUCUGUUAUCAGGGGAGAACAAAUGUGUAAGUAACUGUGCACAUCUUGACGGUACCUGAUCAGAAAGCCACGGCUAACUACGUG